GGGCUCAACUCGGGUGUUGCAUUUGAAACUGGGUUACUAGAGUGCAGGAGAGGGAAGCGGAAUUCCUAGUGUAGCGGUGAAAUGCGUAGAUAUUAGGAGGAACACCAGUGGCGAAGGCGGCUUUCUGGACUGUAACUGACGCUGAGGCACGAAAGCGUGGGGAGCAAACAGGAUUAGAUACCCUGGUAGUCCACGCUGUAAACGAUGGAUACUAGGUGUAGGGGGCGUAGAGCCUUCUGUGCCGCAGCAAACGCAAUAAGUAUCCCGCCUGGGGAGUACGGCCGCAAGGUUGAAACUCAAAGAAAUUGACGGGGGCCCGCACAAGCAGAGGAGCAUGUGGCUUAAUUCGAUGCAACGCGAAGAACCUUACCCGGGUUUGACAUGCAGCUGCACGUCCCGUGAAAGCGGGAUUCCUUCGAGGGUGCUGCACAGGUGCUGCAUGGCUGUCGUCAGUUCGUGCCGUGAGGUGUUUGGUUAAGUCCAGCAACGAACGCAACCCCUGUGUCCAGUUGCCAGCGCGUAAUGGCGGGAACUCUGGACAGACCGCCCGUUCACACGGGAGGAAGGUGGGGACGACGUCAAGUCAGUAUGGCCCUUACAUCCGGGGCUGCACACGUGCUACAAUGGCCGGUACAAAGGGAAGCUAAGCCGCGAGGCCGUGCCAAUCCCCAAAACCGGCCCCAGUUCGGAUUGGAGUCUGCAACUCGA
This 708-nucleotide ribosomal RNA is filed under the name uncultured bacterium. RNAcentral's name for it is "bacterial SSU rRNA". It matches the Rfam family "Bacterial small subunit ribosomal RNA", at positions 605 to 1315 of the family's 1533-position model. The record is from RNAcentral.